UUCUCUCUCUAAAAUUGGUGUAGUUAAUAUUCUCUCUAUCUGACAUUUUCUCCCCAAAAAUGGUUACCUUAAUUCCUCAAAAUUUCUACUUCAAUUCUUAUACAUUUUUUAGUUUAUUGUUCUAAUUACUGAUUUUGAUCUCCCACAAUCGAAUGUUGUACGAUCUGCCACAUUCGAAUUAAAGAACAAAAACCCUAGAUUUAUUGAAUUUCAAAAUAGUUUCUGAUGUAGAUGUAAUUGGUUAAGCAAAAGUUUCAGUUCUUACAUAAUAUCCAAGUCACAAUGCAAGAACCAAACACCUUUACAAUUUGUUCUUCCUACAGAUCAGAAACUAACAAAAAUACAAAUGAAUUGGUAUAUUUAACUAAGGAAUUGUAGGACAUCUGUUGAGACAGAUUCUAGUGAUAAUGUUGUGGUGACUAGAUGCAGCAAGGGCACAGUAAGGAGUUGUUGGUGAUGACCAAGAUGCAGCAGGGAAAGCACAGUUAGGAGUUGUUGGUGGUGACUAAGAUGCAGCAGAGGCAGCACAGUUAGGAGUUGUUGGUGGUUCUGUACAGCCACAACAUAAGGGAAGGAAGUUCAAGACAGUUGCUUCUAAGGACAAAGGAAAAAAGGUUUUAAAGGAAACAUUAAAGAAAGAAAAACUAUGUUUUUGUUAAAUUAGCAACUAAGUAUUUGCUCAUUUGGUAAAUGAGCAAAAAAUUGAUUGCUC
This is a long non-coding RNA of Chenopodium quinoa (quinoa), 712 nucleotides long. RefSeq lists it as uncharacterized. Lineage: Eukaryota; Viridiplantae; Streptophyta; Magnoliopsida; Caryophyllales; Amaranthaceae. The record is from RefSeq and is a predicted model, not a curated record. The transcript is spliced from 4 exons.